UCCGUUCCCACUCCUGGGAUACAGUCACCUAAUCACCGCUCACCAGAUCACACCGCCUAAAGUUGUCACCACCUCAACACAGCUGGAAAGCAAGCUUCCUGUCUCUGUAAGUCCUGGAGGUGCCCCUGGAUGUGGGAGGCAGAAACCAAC
Long non-coding RNA from Microtus oregoni (creeping vole), 150 nucleotides. RefSeq lists it as uncharacterized. The transcript is spliced from 3 exons. Lineage: Eukaryota; Metazoa; Chordata; Mammalia; Rodentia; Cricetidae. The record is from RefSeq and is a predicted model, not a curated record.